GAUGAACGCUGGCGGCGUGCCUAAUACAUGCAAGUCGAGCGAACAGAUAAGGAGCUUGCUCCUUUGACGUUAGCGGCGGACGGGUGAGUAACACGUGGAUAACCUACCUAUAAGACUGGGAUAACUUCGGGAAACCGGAGCUAAUACCGGAUAACAUAUUGAACCGCAUGGUUCAAUAGUGAAAGGCGGCUUUGCUGUCACUUAUAGAUGGAUCCGCGCCGUAUUAGCUAGUUGGUAAGGUAACGGCUUACCAAGGCAACGAUACGUAGCCGACCUGAGAGGGUGAUCGGCCACACUGGAACUGAGACACGGUCCAGACUCCUACGGGAGGCAGCAGUAGGGAAUCUUCCGCAAUGGGCGAAAGCCUGACGGAGCAACGCCGCGUGAGUGAUGAAGGUCUUCGGAUCGUAAAACUCUGCUAUCAGGGAAGAACAAAUGUGUAAGUAACUGUGCGCAUCUUGACGGUACCUGAUCAGAAAGCCACGGCUAACUACGUG
This 497-nucleotide ribosomal RNA is filed under the name uncultured bacterium. RNAcentral describes it as "partial 16S ribosomal RNA". It matches the Rfam family "Bacterial small subunit ribosomal RNA", at positions 28 to 507 of the family's 1533-position model. The record is from RNAcentral.